GAUGAACGCUGGCGGCGUGCCUAAUACAUGCAAGUCGAGCGAACGGACGAGAAGCUUGCUUCUCUGAUGUUAGCGGCGGACGGGUGAGUAACACGUGGAUAACCUACCUAUAAGACUGGGAUAACUUCGGGAAACCGGAGCUAAUACCGGAUAAUAUUUUGAACCGCAUGGUUCAAAAGUGAAAGACGGUCUUGCUGUCACUUAUAGAUGGAUCCGCGGUGCAUUAGCUAGUUGGUAAGGUAACGGCUUACCAAGGCAACGAUGCAUAGCCGACCUGAGAGGAUGAUCGGCCACACUGGAACUGAGACACGGUCCAGACUCCUACGGGAGGCAGCAGUAGGGAAUCUUCCGCAAUGGGCGAAAGCCUGACGGAGCAACGCCGCGUGAGUGAUGAAGGUCUUCGGAUCGUAAAACUCUGUUAUUAGGGAAGAACAUAUGUGUAAGUAACUGUGCACAUCUUGACGGUACCUAAUCAGAAAGCAACGGCUAACUACGUG
Molecule: ribosomal RNA, 497 nt
Filed under: uncultured bacterium
Lineage: Bacteria
Description: partial 16S ribosomal RNA
Rfam family: Bacterial small subunit ribosomal RNA
Source: RNAcentral